AACCACACAAAACACUGCAAAGCCAGCUUCAUCGGAUUGCCUGUCCUGAAUUUUGCUUGGGAAUCUACCUGAAGCUCUGCAUCUCAUCCCUUGUCAACUCCUGCUUGUCUUAGCUGCAUGGGAACUAACCUCUGGGACCCUCCUUUCUGGAGAACCUUCUUACGUCUCCUUGUCUUGUCCUGAUGCCUCUAAAGCUUCAACCCUGGGAGCCCAUCUUGAACUCUGGAAUUUUACCAGGAAAGCUUAGAUUAAAUGUACCUGGAAAGAGUUCAUUCUGCAGAAGAACUGGCUGCUCUCCAAGAGAGGUGGAGCAGCUCUACUCAGUAACCUGCUCAACUCAAGCAGCUUUGUUAGCAGUCUGCCUACGCUGUAGUUGAC
Molecule: long non-coding RNA, 378 nt
Filed under: Podarcis muralis (Common wall lizard)
Lineage: Eukaryota; Metazoa; Chordata; Lepidosauria; Squamata; Lacertidae
Description: lncRNA (ENSPMRG00000014640.1)
Source: RNAcentral